Molecule: RNA transcript, 1687 nt
Organism: Malaclemys terrapin pileata
Lineage: Eukaryota; Metazoa; Chordata; Testudines; Emydidae
Gene: LYSMD2
Gene name: LysM domain containing 2
Exons: 4
Source: RefSeq, a predicted model, not a curated record
AAUUCUACCUGAGGCCGCGCACUUUUUUCCUGUUGCCCUGACUGCUGUGGUGUCAUCGGCGCUUGGCCGGUCUCAGCCGCCCCUCGCUGCGGUGACUCGAGUUCCCCUGCAGCCGGCCAUGCCCAUUGCGCGGCUCGCUGCUGCGGAGCUCGCGCAGCACUGAGGGAGCCGCCGGGCCAGGGGAAGGCGCGGGUCAUGGCAGAGUUCCCGCCAGUGCCGCUCUCCCUGCGGGAGGAGCCCCCGGCCGCCCGCUCUGGCUCCGAGUCCGAGUCGGAGGCCGAACUGUCGCAGAGCCUGGCCCGCACCAAGAUCCGCUCGUACGGCAGCACGGCCAGCGUCGCGGCCCCCCUGGCGGAGCGCUACCUGGAGCAUCGCCUCAGCGCGGGCGACACGCUACAGGGCAUCGCGCUCAAGUAUGGAGUUACGAUGGAACAAAUAAAAAGGGCAAAUAAACUAUUUACCAAUGACUGUAUAUUCCUGAGGAAAACUCUGAAUAUUCCAGUUAUAUCAGAGAAGCCGUUACUGUUCAAUGGACUUAAUUCGCUGGAAUCGCCUGAGAAUGAAAUUAUUGACAUUUCUCUUUGUGGUGAAGGACCAAUAACAGUUCAGGAAGAGAGUAGUUCUUCUUCUCCCAGUCCUCAAGAACCUGACAAUCAACCUGCUGCACCCGAAGAACUAUCUGCCAAAGAUUUUCUACAUAGACUGGACUUGCAGAUUAAGUUGUCCAAACAGGCAGCCAGGAAACUAAAAGAUGAAGAUAUCAGAGCAUCUACAUCUCCUAUUGAUGUCAGUAGGACUAUCAUGUGAAUAAGGAUUGCAAGUUCUUGUCUUCAAUGUUAUGGAGCCACAUCGUGACACCAUAAGAGAGGAGGAUGAGGAAAGUCCCUAUGCAACUUCUUCCUAUCACCAGUAGAUGACAGACACAUGAUGACCUGCAAACGUGGAAUGAAGAUACAGUUCUUAAAGAACUAAAUAAUUGAUUCAAAAGCAAGCCUUUCAGACUGAUUACCGUGGUGUACUUUUUACAAGUCCUGAAUGGGUAAUUUCACUGACUAAUUGCACUGAAAUUAUUUGACCUCUUCUGCCUUCCGCAGGUUAAUUUCCUUAAAUUAUAUCAAUAAGAGGUGUAAGCCUUGCAAAACUAGCAAUUGCCUUCAUAUUCCUUCUGUGUAAAUUGUAGGAUGGUAGCAACAAUAUAUCCUUGAAGUCACCUUUAUGCAGGAUGCUUGGCUCUUUAGUGUACAGUUUGUAAAUACUUGUUAAGAUAAAGUGUGAGAGAUUUGAUUAAAUAUUUAUGGAGAAAGUUACACUUAUCACUGGCAAACUUAACUAUAUAAAAUGACUGAAGUUUUAUGAUACUUACAACUUGAUUUUGCAGUCCCAAUGCAGGCAAAUUUGCCACGGAAGUUUUGCCUGCAGCAAGGCUGCAGAACUGAUCCCUAAGUUUUGUGUGUGUAAGUGUGCAUCUAUAAAUAACAUCUAUGUGUUCCUGUAAAGGAUUAAUUUAGCCCUCGAUUUUGAUUGGGUAAAGAAAGCCUUUAGGGGAAAAAGUUAUAGUAAGAGGUAUUUUUCUUUGUGUUAUAGUGACAUUUGAAUUGUUCAUAAAUGUAUUCUUGUGUGCAAAUAUAUUUUCAGUGUAACUUUAUUAAACAACCCCCCCCCCAUAAUAAAUGAAUAUUCUUCAUUA